AUGGGCGAAAGCCUGAUCCAGCAAUACCGCGUGUGUGAAGAAGGCCUGAGGGUUGUAAAGCACUUUCAAUAGGAAGGAAUACCUACCGGCUAAUACCCGGUAGACUGACAUUACCUAUACAAGAAGCACCGGCUAACUCCGUGCCAGCAGCCGCGGUAAUACGGAGGGUGCAAGCGUUAAUCGGAAUUACUGGGCGUAAAGCGUGCGUAGGCGGUUCGUUAAGUCAGAUGUGAAAGCCCCGGGCUCAACCUGGGAACUGCAUUUGAUACUGGCAAACUAGAGUUGAGUAGAGGAGAGUGGAAUUUCAGGUGUAGCGGUGAAAUGCGUAGAGAUCUGAAGGAACACC
Molecule: ribosomal RNA, 346 nt
Filed under: uncultured Gammaproteobacteria bacterium
Lineage: Bacteria; Pseudomonadati; Pseudomonadota; Gammaproteobacteria
Description: bacterial SSU rRNA
Rfam family: Bacterial small subunit ribosomal RNA
Source: RNAcentral